RNAcentral lists this ribosomal RNA (274 nucleotides) under uncultured bacterium. RNAcentral describes it as "partial 16S ribosomal RNA". It matches the Rfam family "Bacterial small subunit ribosomal RNA", at positions 523 to 796 of the family's 1533-position model. The record is from RNAcentral.
AUACGGAGGGUGCAAGCGUUACUCGGAAUCACUGGGCGUAAAGCGCGCGCAGGCGGCUAUUUAAGUUGGAUGUGAAAGCCUACGGCUCAACCGUAGAACUGCAUCCAAAACUAUUUAGCUAGAGUGUGGGAGAGGAAGAUGGAAUUAGUUGUGUAGGGGUAAAAUCCGUAGAGAUAACUAGGAAUACCGAAAGCGAAGGCAAUCUUCUGGAACACUACUGACGCUGAGGCGCGAAAGCGUGGGGAGCAAACAGGAUUAGAUACCCUAGUAGUCC